Molecule: unclassified non-coding RNA, 501 nt
Filed under: Cladosporium sp. MK2-2020
Lineage: Eukaryota; Fungi; Ascomycota; Dothideomycetes; Cladosporiales; Cladosporiaceae
Description: sequence contains 18S rRNA gene, ITS1, 5.8S rRNA gene, ITS2, 28S rRNA gene
Rfam family: 5.8S ribosomal RNA (bases 211-364)
Source: RNAcentral
AGGAAGUAAAAGUCGUAACAAGGUCUCCGUAGGUGAACCUGCGGAGGGAUCAUUACAAGAACGCCCGGGCUUCGGCCUGGUUAUUCAUAACCCUUUGUUGUCCGACUCUGUUGCCUCCGGGGCGACCCUGCCUUCGGGCGGGGGCUCCGGGUGGACACUUCAAACUCUUGCGUAACUUUGCAGUCUGAGUAAACUUAAUUAAUAAAUUAAAACUUUUAACAACGGAUCUCUUGGUUCUGGCAUCGAUGAAGAACGCAGCGAAAUGCGAUAAGUAAUGUGAAUUGCAGAAUUCAGUGAAUCAUCGAAUCUUUGAACGCACAUUGCGCCCCCUGGUAUUCCGGGGGGCAUGCCUGUUCGAGCGUCAUUUCACCACUCAAGCCUCGCUUGGUAUUGGGCAACGCGGUCCGCCGCGUGCCUCAAAUCGUCCGGCUGGGUCUUCUGUCCCCUAAGCGUUGUGGAAACUAUUCGCUAAAGGGUGUUCGGGAGGCUACGCCGUAAAAC